This is a long non-coding RNA of Rosa rugosa (rugosa rose), 784 nucleotides long. RefSeq lists it as uncharacterized. The transcript is spliced from 3 exons. The record is from RefSeq and is a predicted model, not a curated record. NCBI's taxonomy places the organism in Eukaryota, Viridiplantae, Streptophyta, Magnoliopsida, Rosales, Rosaceae.
AAAAAGUUCUUUUUGCGGAAAAGCCCCCGGUUUCCUCCGUUCUCUCUCUUCCUUCGACCUUCAGAACCCUCGGGUUCCGACCGACCCGACCCGGCCAAACGGUGGUCCUCCGGCAUCCUCCGGCCACGACCCGGCCUUCCCCGAGCUCGCCGUCGCACGCACAGCCUCCCUCUGGCCUCCCCUUGCAUCGCCGCUGCCCCCAGACGUGGAUCGAAGCCCCCCCCAGCCUAGCUUUUGACCCGAUCGGAUCUUGGCCGUGCCGGCGUUGCACGGGCCGAUCCUCCCCAUUUUCGUGAUCUCCUCCUUCCCCUGAUCAUCCUCAUAUCCUCCUUGCUUGACGAUUUGGAGUGUGGAGUGAAAGAUCACGAGUUGAAGAUUUCGACGUCCCUGAUUCAAUCUGGAAUCUGAUCAGACGCACGAGAUUAAUCCAACUUCAACGCUUGAUCUAGGACGAUCUAGGCCGAACCAGGCUUAGCUCCAGGUGAUUGACGGUUUGAGUUGGUGGACGAUUGUGGAUCGUAUUUUGAGCUGAAUUGAAGACGCAGCGGGAUUAUCGAGCGGGUAAUCCUACAGGACAGGAGAACCAGGACGGUGAUCGUGCGGUUAGAGCAAUUGUUAGAGUUUUACAACAAUUGUAAGUUGUGAGGUGUGUUAUGCUCAUUUGAGCUUUAUAAUAUAUUGAGAGAGUGAAUUGUAAUAAUGAACUCGAAGUUUCGAGAUUUGGGUUUUUGUAAUUGUAAUUAUUCAGGUUUCGGAUUUGAAUUUAUCAUUCAAAAUCCGGGGC